GAUGAACGCUGGCGGCGUGCUUAACACAUGCAAGUCGAACGAACCUUCGGGUUAGUGGCGGACGGGUGAGUAACGCGUGGGAAUCUGCCCUCAGGAGGGGGAUAACGGCCGGAAACGGCCGCUAAUACCCCAUAUGCCGAGAGGUGAAAUGAAUUUCGCCUGAGGAUGAGCCCGCGUCUGAUUAGCUAGUUGGUGGGGUAAUGGCCCACCAAGGCGACGAUCAGUAGCUGGUCUGAGAGGAUGAUCAGCCACACUGGGACUGAGACACGGCCCAGACUCCUACGGGAGGCAGCAGUGGGGAAUUUUCCGCAAUGGGCGAAAGCCUGACGGAGCAACGCCGCGUGAGGGAUGAAGGCCUCUGGGCUGUAAACCUCUUUUCUCAAGGAAGAAGACAUGACGGUACUUGAGGAAUAAGCCACGGCUAAUUCCGUGCCAGCAGCCGCGGUAAUACGGGAGUGGCAAGCGUUAUCCGGAAUUAUUGGGCGUAAAGCGUCCGCAGGCGGCCUUGUAAGUCUGUCGUUAAAGCGUGGAGCUUAACUCCAUUUAAGCGAUGGAAACUACAAGGCUUGAGUGUGGUAGGGGCAGAGGGAAUUCCCGGUGUAGCGGUGAAAUGCGUAGAUAUCGGGAAGAACACCAGUGGCGAAGGCGCUCUGCUGGGCCAUAACUGACGCUCAUGGACGAAAGCCAGGGGAGCGAAAGGGAUUAGAUACCCCUGUAGUCCUGGCCGUAAACGAUGAACACUAGGUGUCGGGGGAAUCGACCCCCUCGGUGUCGUAGCUAACGCGUUAAGUGUUCCGCCUGGGGAGUACGCACGCAAGUGUGAAACUCAAAGGAAUUGACGGGGGCCCGCACAAGCGGUGGAGUAUGUGGUUUAAUUCGAUGCAACGCGAAGAACCUUACCAGGGUUUGACAUCCUGCGAAUCCCUUGGAAACGAGGGAGUGCCUUCGGGAGCGCAGAGACAGGUGGUGCAUGGCUGUCGUCAGCUCGUGUCGUGAGAUGUUGGGUUAAGUCCCGCAACGAGCGCAACCCACGUCUUUAGUUGCCAGCAUUCAGUUGGGCACUCUAGAGAGACCGCCGGUGAUAAACCGGAGGAAGGUGUGGAUGACGUCAAGUCAUCAUGCCCCUUACAUCCUGGGCUACACACGUACUACAAUGCUACGGACAAAGGGUUGCAAGCUCGCGAGAGUUAGCUAAUCCCAUAAACCGUGGCUCAGUUCAGAUCGUAGGCUGCAACUCGCCUACGUGAAGGAGGAAUCGCUAGUAAUCGCAGGUCAGCAUACUGCGGUGAAUACGUUCCCGGGCCUUGUACACACCGCCCGUCACACCAUGGAAGUUGGCCAUGCCCGAAGUCGUUACUCCAACCCUUGUGGAGGAGGACGCCGAAGGUGGGGCUGAUGACUGGGGUGAAGUCGUAACAAGGUAGCCGUACCGGAAGGUGCGGCUGGAUCACCUCCUAA
Molecule: ribosomal RNA, 1458 nt
Filed under: Cyanobium sp. JJ8-3
Lineage: Bacteria; Bacillati; Cyanobacteriota; Cyanophyceae; Synechococcales; Prochlorococcaceae
Also listed under: 4 other names
Description: bacterial SSU rRNA
Rfam family: Bacterial small subunit ribosomal RNA
Source: RNAcentral